AUUUUUUUAACCUUUUAAUUUACAUACAUACAUACAUACAUACACACACACACACACACACACGUCUGAGCAUUAGUGUGACCGGAAAUUAUAUAACUUUUAAGCUGCAGCUGUCAUUACGUGUUACUUUGUUGUUACUUUAAAACCUUAAAAUGUGACUGUCAUUUUAAACAGGAGAUAUAGAAGAAUUUUAACUCAUUCUAAUAUAUCAUUAUAGCACAAGUUAUACUUCUGAGACAGCGUAAAGUCAUUUCAGUUAAAAGCAACUUUCUAGAAAGCAGUUCCUUAAAGAAUCUAUCCUGACAUUUGCCAUUUAAGGGAAACUGGUUUUAUAGUUUAAAAAAAAAAAAAACUAAACUAAAAUGUUCUAGUCCCAGCAGUAUUUGUCUUUUAGUCCCAACAUGUCCAUGACAGUCUCAAGUUUCAUGUCAGAUGGUGCCACCUAAUGGCAGAACAUAAGCAUGGACGUGUAGGAACACUGUAUGCUGGAUAGGAAACAGUUGAUAGAUUAAAUGUGCUGUGAAGUUCAAAAACAUGGAAUGCCUCUGCUAAGGACUUGGAGGGAUUGCCAAACAAAAUGGAAUUAGUCACAGGCCUGCAGUCUCCACAUCUCAAAGCAAUUUAACAAGAUCCACCAAAACCACAAUUUGGACAAACAGCAUUUCAUCAGUCAAGGGAAUUAUCAGAGACAUGCACAUUUUCAAAGCUUAUAAUGAACAAUCUUAUUUCUACCACCUAUGUUCUAUCCAUACCUCCUGGAGGAUACUUAACUGAUAAAGAGAUGAAUUUGGUCGCUUUGCUGGUUGUUGAAAAGGAACAUGGGAGUUAAGCAUUGCGAGUGCACUGCAUGCAGCAGUUUUCCAUGAAGGCCUGUUUUCUCUCUUCUUGCAGUUACCCAGUGAAUUUAGAUGUGCACCUGAGACUCAUUUGUCUCUGGUGCACAUCAAAAAUCUGACUUUAUCUAGUAACCAGACUGAAUACUGCUCUGAAUCAGUUGGAUUUUCUCUUUUAAGUUAAAAGCAAUCUGGAAAUAAAAGGUGCAAAAAAGUAUUCAAGAUUUCAUACGUUUUCAGUUACAUGCUGAAAAAAAAAAAAAUGUAAACUUUGGCUCUAUAUGCAGAACCAAUGUUAAAGUCUCUAUUUUGUUUAAGUUCUGUACAGUAGGGUUCUUUGCCUGGGUCCCCCCACCCUUUAAAAAAGAAAAGAAAGAAAAAAAGUUCCAGUUGAACUGGGUCACCAGCAAAAUGAAGAGCAGGUCAUUACGCAUCACCUGUGCUUUCAGAGCAGAUCUUCUUUGCCUGCCGUAGUGCUGCACAUGAAUGGCUUCAGUUUGAGCUAAAAAUUUGAAACAUGCACCACCUGCUCUCACAACCGUGAGAUAUUACUAUAAAGUAUAAAUAAGCUAGCCCACACACAGACUCAUCUAGAAAGAUUUAUUUACAUUUCCCCUAAAGAUCAGUUUAAUUGUAUCCAUGCAGUUAAUGAUCCAUCUUCUGAUGUUGGCCCUGGAAUGAGAAAGAUAAUUAGUGAUGUUGAGCUUAUGCAGGUUCUAAAGGGAAAGAGGAAAAAAAACAAAAAACGACAAAGUAAACACCAACUAGUUUUAUGGAGUAUACCUCUUCGGUUAAGCCCCUUGCAGAAUCUGGUGGUUUGUGCCAGUUGUCCUGACCCAAGGCUGAAGAUGAGGUCUGUGCUGGUAACGCAUCAUCCGAGGACGCAUUUGAUAGCUGCGUGCCUGUAUUGGGAUUUGAGUCUGAUAGUAA
Long non-coding RNA from Astatotilapia calliptera (eastern happy), 1763 nucleotides. The record is from Ensembl. Lineage: Eukaryota; Metazoa; Chordata; Actinopteri; Cichliformes; Cichlidae.